AGUUGGUGUUGUAUUACGAGCUUCGGACUAUCCAAAUUCAGAAAUGUCUAGCAAAUUCAGCCACCUAUCAAAGAAUAACAGUACGGAGGUUCUAGCUGAAUAUGCUGAUCAUACAAGAGUACGCCGGCAGUUGCUUACUCCUAAAACCAAAGGUCGUGGUGGUGAUUUUGGAGGUGAGGGAUUCAACGUGACAAAAAGUAGAGAUGCAUGUGUUGUUUUGUGGGGUUUCCUUCAGUUCAGAAAUCAACAUUGUUGAAGAUGGUGAGAGGAACCUUUUCAAAGGGUUGCAGUAGUUGGGAUCGCAGAGGCGAGCUUUCUCGAGAUCGAUUGUGUUAAAAUAAAGUGGUGUUUUUUUAUAUUGUCUCCUGCACAUGUAUAUUCAAAAUGGGUGCUUCUAUCCAAAUAUUGCACACAAAUAGGAAAUAAUAUGUGGAUUGACAUUUGUAAGCUUUGCAUAUUCAAAAUUUGAAUUUGAGAGAUGUAUUAAAUUUUAAAUUUGAGAUGUGCACAUCAUGUGAACUA
Long non-coding RNA from Lolium rigidum, 522 nucleotides. RefSeq lists it as uncharacterized. The transcript is spliced from 2 exons. NCBI's taxonomy places the organism in Eukaryota, Viridiplantae, Streptophyta, Magnoliopsida, Poales, Poaceae. The record is from RefSeq and is a predicted model, not a curated record.